Long non-coding RNA from Gopherus flavomarginatus (Mexican gopher tortoise), 1135 nucleotides. RefSeq lists it as uncharacterized. Lineage: Eukaryota; Metazoa; Chordata; Testudines; Testudinidae. The transcript is spliced from 2 exons. The record is from RefSeq and is a predicted model, not a curated record.
CCAGUCCCUGCAAAAACCGGCAGCAUGAGGCAGCGGCUCCCCCUGCGGGAAUACGCGGGGACCCGGGCUCCGGAGCGCUGCAGACAGCUCUGGGUGGCAAAAACGCUGGAGCCAGCCCUGAAGAAGACCCUCUGGCCUGCCACUCCCUUCCCCCAGGGGCUGCAGGGACGGUACCUGCCUGAAGUGCCCUGGUGUCCAGCCAUGGUGAUGAGAGAGGGGCAGCAGGACAGGCUGGGACGUGGACACCUCCACUGCGCCUCCCGCCGGCCCCUUUCACUUGCCUGACUGCCUGCUGCUUCGGCCGCCAGUGCCAGCCUGCAGGAGUUCCAGCAGCCCCCUAGCUGAUUGUGCCACGUGCUGCGCUCCAGCAUCGGCCAGCUCUGGGUUCCAGCUGGGUUUUGGUUCCGGCUGUGGCCCUUUGCCAGCCAGGGUCUCAGCUGCCGGCCUGCUCAGCCCACUGCCAGCCUACAUUUCCAUUCACCCAGGCUGGCGGCGUGCUGAGUGGGGCUAGCAGCUGGGACCUCGGCAUGCCAUUAACAAUCGUCUCGCAUGCCACUGUUGGCACGUGUGCCAUAGGUUGCCCACUCCUGGUUUAGACUAUAUGGACCGCUGGGAGCUAGUAGGAUCAUGACAACAUUACAGUACAAAAGUAGUAAAAAUCUUACUGAGAUGAGAAGUGACUGUUUAAAAAAAUUAAUUUUGUUAGCACCUACUUAAUUCAAUAAUCUAAUGGUUUGGAGAAAAUGAAUCUUCAUUUAAGAUUUAAUACCCUUGUGCCUUCAGUUAAAGGCAGCUUUCAAUGUACAGUGUAAAUCCUCAGAUUUCUGGUGGUUGUGGAUGGCCUCUCAGACUGCGUCAGAUCUCUUACUGGUACUGGUAUUAAGAGUUGAAUUCUGGCUCACAGAAGUGCUGACUGACUGGGACUCAGAGGUGGAAGGUCUUAUGGCAGACCAUGCUUAAUACUGCUAUGACAAAAACCAGCAGAAUGAAUAUAUAUAAAUCCUUCUUUCUAUACAGUAAGGAAGGGAAAAUGGGUACCAUAAAACUUUUCUGCCCUUUGUCUGCAGGUCACUUUUAGAAGCAGUGUUAUACAAAAUCAUGCAUUUAUAAAAGAUUAACAGAUUAAAAAAACCCA